This 503-nucleotide ribosomal RNA is filed under the name uncultured bacterium. RNAcentral's name for it is "partial 16S ribosomal RNA". It matches the Rfam family "Bacterial small subunit ribosomal RNA", at positions 29 to 507 of the family's 1533-position model. The record is from RNAcentral.
ACGAACGCUGGCGGCGUGCUUAACACCUGCAAGUCGAACGGUGAAGCGCUUGCCUUUUUGGUGGGUGUGGAUGAGUGGCGAACGGGUGAGUAACACGCGAGUGACCUGCCCUCUUCUUCUGGAUAACCUCAUGAAAGUGGGGCUAAUGCGGGGUAUUCCGGGUCUGUCGCAUGGCGGGUUUGGGAAAGAUUGCGCCUUUGGGUGUUUUCGGUGGGGGAUGGGCUCGCGGCCUAUCAGCUUGUUGGUGGGGUGAUGGCCUACCAAGGCGGUGACGGGUAGCCGGCCUGAGAGGGUGGGCGGCCACACUGGGACUGAGACACGGCCCAGACUCCUGCGGGAGGCAGCAGUGGGGAAUAUUGCACAAUGGGCGCAAGCCUGAUGCAGCGACGCCGCGUGAGGGAUGGAGGCCUUCGGGUUGUGAACCUCUUUCGCCAGUGAAGCAGGCCUGCUCCUGUGUGGGUGGGUUGACGGUAGCUGGAUAAGAAGCGCCGGCUAACUACGUG